CGCGGCAAGACGGAAAGACCCCGUGAACCUUUACUAUAGCUUGACACUGAACAUUGAGCCUUGAUGUGUAGGAUAGGUGGGAGGCUUUGAAGUGUGGACGCCAGUCUGCAUGGAGCCGACCUUGAAAUACCACCCUUUAAUGUUUGAUGUUCUAACGUUGACCCGUGAUCCGGGUUGCGGACAGUGUCUGGUGGGUAGUUUGACUGGGGCGGUCUCCUCCUAAAGAGUAACGGAGGAGCACGAAGGUUGGCUAAUCCUGGUCGGACAUCAGGAGGUUAGUGCAAUGGCAUAAGCCAGCUUGACUGCGAGCGUGACGGCGCGAGCAGGUGCGAAAGCAGGUCAUAGUGAUCCGGUGGUUCUGAAUGGAAGGGCCAUCGCUCAACGGAUAAAAGGUACUCCGGGGAUAACAGGCUGAUACCGCCCAAGAGUUCAUAUCGACGGCGGUGUUUGGCACCUCGAUGUCGGCUCAUCACAUCCUGGGGCUGAAGUAGGUCCCAAGGGUAUGGCUGUUCGCCAUUUAAAGUGGUACGCGAGCUGGGUUUAGAACGUCGUGAGACAGUUCGGUCCCUAUCUGCCGUGGGCGCUGGAGAAUUGAGGGGGGCUGCUCCUAGUACGAGAGGACCGGAGUGGACGCAUCACUGGUGUUCGGGUUGUCAUGCCAAUGGCACUGCCCGGUAGCUAAAUGCGGAAGAGAUAAGUGCUGAAAGCAUCUAAGCACGAAACUUGCCCCGAGAUGAGUUCUCCCUGACUCCUUGAGAGUCCUGAAGGAACGUUGAAGACGACGACGUUGAUAGGCCGGGUGUGUAAGCGCAGCGAUGCGUUGAGCUAACCGGUACUAAUGAACCGUGAGGCUUAACCUU
This 860-nucleotide ribosomal RNA is filed under the name Escherichia coli. RNAcentral describes it as "partial 23S ribosomal RNA". It matches the Rfam family "Bacterial large subunit ribosomal RNA", at positions 2071 to 2925 of the family's 2925-position model. Lineage: Bacteria; Pseudomonadati; Pseudomonadota; Gammaproteobacteria; Enterobacterales; Enterobacteriaceae. The record is from RNAcentral.